RNAcentral lists this ribosomal RNA (252 nucleotides) under uncultured bacterium. Its description in RNAcentral is "partial 16S ribosomal RNA". It matches the Rfam family "Bacterial small subunit ribosomal RNA", at positions 334 to 602 of the family's 1533-position model. The record is from RNAcentral.
GACCUACGGGAGGCAGCAGUGGGGGAUAUUGGACAAUGGGGGGAACCCUGAUCCAGCGACGCCGCGUGAGUGAAGAAGUAUUUCGGUAUGUAAAGCUCUGUCAGCAGGGAAGAAAGCAAUGACGGUACCUGACCAAGAAGCCACGGCUAACUACGUGCCAGCAGCCGCGGUAAUACGUAGGUGGCAAGCGUUGUCCGGAAUUACUGGGUGUAAAGGGAGCGCAGGCGGGAAGCCAAGUCAGCUGUGAAAACU